Molecule: ribosomal RNA, 640 nt
Filed under: uncultured bacterium
Lineage: Bacteria
Description: bacterial SSU rRNA
Rfam family: Bacterial small subunit ribosomal RNA
Source: RNAcentral
AACGAACGCUGGCGGCGUGCUUAACACAUGCAAGUCGAACGCGAACGUUUCCUUCGGGGAACUAGUAGAGUGGCGCACGGGUGAGUAACGCGUAAGUAACCUACCCUCGCAUUUGGGAUAACCCACCGAAAGGUGUGCUAAUACCGGAUACGUCUCAUUUAAUAUCUUUUGAUGAGAGAAAGGUGGCCUCUGAUUAAGCUACUGUGCGGGGAGGGGCUUGCGUACCAUUAGCUAGUUGGUAGGGUAACGGCCUACCAAGGCGAUGAUGGUUAGCGGGUCUGAGAGGAUGAUCCGCCACACUGGAACUGGAACACGGACCAGACUCCUACGGGAGGCAGCAGUGAGGAAUAUUGCGCAAUGGGGGCAACCCUGACGCAGCGACGCCGCGUGGAUGAUGAAGGCCUUCGGGUUGUAAAAUCCUGUCAGAUGGGAAGAAGUGGCAUGUAUAUAAUAUGUAGGUGUCUUGACGGUACCAUCAAAGGAAGCACCGGCUAACUCCGUGCCAGCAGCCGCGGUAAUACGGAGGGUGCAAGCGUUGUUCGGAAUUACUGGGCGUAAAGCGCGCGUAGGCGGCUGUAUAAGUCAGAUGUGAAAGCCCGCGGCUCAACCGUGGAAGUGCAUUUGAAACUGUAUGGCUUGA